This 2923-nucleotide ribosomal RNA is filed under the name Staphylococcus aureus. RNAcentral's name for it is "23S ribosomal RNA". It matches the Rfam family "Bacterial large subunit ribosomal RNA". The record is from RNAcentral. Lineage: Bacteria; Bacillati; Bacillota; Bacilli; Caryophanales; Staphylococcaceae. RNAcentral also lists the same sequence under 1 other name.
GAUUAAGUUAUUAAGGGCGCACGGUGGAUGCCUUGGCACUAGAAGCCGAUGAAGGACGUUACUAACGACGAUAUGCUUUGGGGAGCUGUAAGUAAGCUUUGAUCCAGAGAUUUCCGAAUGGGGAAACCCAGCAUGAGUUAUGUCAUGUUAUCGAUAUGUGAAUACAUAGCAUAUCAGAAGGCACACCCGGAGAACUGAAACAUCUUAGUACCCGGAGGAAGAGAAAGAAAAUUCGAUUCCCUUAGUAGCGGCGAGCGAAACGGGAAGAGCCCAAACCAACAAGCUUGCUUGUUGGGGUUGUAGGACACUCUAUACGGAGUUACAAAGGACGACAUUAGACGAAUCAUCUGGAAAGAUGAAUCAAAGAAGGUAAUAAUCCUGUAGUCGAAAAUGUUGUCUCUCUUGAGUGGAUCCUGAGUACGACGGAGCACGUGAAAUUCCGUCGGAAUCUGGGAGGACCAUCUCCUAAGGCUAAAUACUCUCUAGUGACCGAUAGUGAACCAGUACCGUGAGGGAAAGGUGAAAAGCACCCCGGAAGGGGAGUGAAAUAGAACCUGAAACCGUGUGCUUACAAGUAGUCAGAGCCCGUUAAUGGGUGAUGGCGUGCCUUUUGUAGAAUGAACCGGCGAGUUACGAUUUGAUGCAAGGUUAAGCAGUAAAUGUGGAGCCGUAGCGAAAGCGAGUCUGAAUAGGGCGUUUAGUAUUUGGUCGUAGACCCGAAACCAGGUGAUCUACCCUUGGUCAGGUUGAAGUUCAGGUAACACUGAAUGGAGGACCGAACCGACUUACGUUGAAAAGUGAGCGGAUGAACUGAGGGUAGCGGAGAAAUUCCAAUCGAACCUGGAGAUAGCUGGUUCUCUCCGAAAUAGCUUUAGGGCUAGCCUCAAGUGAUGAUUAUUGGAGGUAGAGCACUGUUUGGACGAGGGGCCCCUCUCGGGUUACCGAAUUCAGACAAACUCCGAAUGCCAAUUAAUUUAACUUGGGAGUCAGAACAUGGGUGAUAAGGUCCGUGUUCGAAAGGGAAACAGCCCAGACCACCAGCUAAGGUCCCAAAAUAUAUGUUAAGUGGAAAAGGAUGUGGCGUUGCCCAGACAACUAGGAUGUUGGCUUAGAAGCAGCUAUCAUUUAAAGAGUGCGUAAUAGCUCACUAGUCGAGUGACACUGCGCCGAAAAUGUACCGGGGCUAAACAUAUUACCGAAGCUGUGGAUUGUCCUUUGGACAAUGGUAGGAGAGCGUUCUAAGGGCGUUGAAGCAUGAUCGUAAGGACAUGUGGAGCGCUUAGAAGUGAGAAUGCCGGUGUGAGUAGCGAAAGACGGGUGAGAAUCCCGUCCACCGAUUGACUAAGGUUUCCAGAGGAAGGCUCGUCCGCUCUGGGUUAGUCGGGUCCUAAGCUGAGGCCGACAGGCGUAGGCGAUGGAUAACAGGUUGAUAUUCCUGUACCACCUAUAAUCGUUUUAAUCGAUGGGGGGACGCAGUAGGAUAGGCGAAGCGUGCGAUUGGAUUGCACGUCUAAGCAGUAAGGCUGAGUAUUAGGCAAAUCCGGUACUCGUUAAGGCUGAGCUGUGAUGGGGAGAAGACAUUGAGUCUUCGAGUCGUUGAUUUCACACUGCCGAGAAAAGCCUCUAGAUAGAAAAUAGGUGCCCGUACCGCAAACCGACACAGGUAGUCAAGAUGAGAAUUCUAAGGUGAGCGAGCGAACUCUCGUUAAGGAACUCGGCAAAAUGACCCCGUAACUUCGGGAGAAGGGGUGCUCUUUAGGGUUAACGCCCAGAAGAGCCGCAGUGAAUAGGCCCAAGCGACUGUUUAUCAAAAACACAGGUCUCUGCUAAACCGUAAGGUGAUGUAUAGGGGCUGACGCCUGCCCGGUGCUGGAAGGUUAAGAGGAGUGGUUAGCUUCUGCGAAGCUACGAAUCGAAGCCCCAGUAAACGGCGGCCGUAACUAUAACGGUCCUAAGGUAGCGAAAUUCCUUGUCGGGUAAGUUCCGACCCGCACGAAAGGCGUAACGAUUUGGGCACUGUCUCAACGAGAGACUCGGUGAAAUCAUAGUACCUGUGAAGAUGCAGGUUACCCGCGACAGGACGGAAAGACCCCGUGGAGCUUUACUGUAGCCUGAUAUUGAAAUUCGGCACAGCUUGUACAGGAUAGGUAGGAGCCUUUGAAACGUGAGCGCUAGCUUACGUGGAGGCGCUGGUGGGAUACUACCCUAGCUGUGUUGGCUUUCUAACCCGCACCACUUAUCGUGGUGGGAGACAGUGUCAGGCGGGCAGUUUGACUGGGGCGGUCGCCUCCUAAAAGGUAACGGAGGCGCUCAAAGGUUCCCUCAGAAUGGUUGGAAAUCAUUCAUAGAGUGUAAAGGCAUAAGGGAGCUUGACUGCGAGACCUACAAGUCGAGCAGGGUCGAAAGACGGACUUAGUGAUCCGGUGGUUCCGCAUGGAAGGGCCAUCGCUCAACGGAUAAAAGCUACCCCGGGGAUAACAGGCUUAUCUCCCCCAAGAGUUCACAUCGACGGGGAGGUUUGGCACCUCGAUGUCGGCUCAUCGCAUCCUGGGGCUGUAGUCGGUCCCAAGGGUUGGGCUGUUCGCCCAUUAAAGCGGUACGCGAGCUGGGUUCAGAACGUCGUGAGACAGUUCGGUCCCUAUCCGUCGUGGGCGUAGGAAAUUUGAGAGGAGCUGUCCUUAGUACGAGAGGACCGGGAUGGACAUACCUCUGGUGUACCAGUUGUCGUGCCAACGGCAUAGCUGGGUAGCUAUGUGUGGACGGGAUAAGUGCUGAAAGCAUCUAAGCAUGAAGCCCCCCUCAAGAUGAGAUUUCCCAACUUCGGUUAUAAGAUCCCUCAAAGAUGAUGAGGUUAAUAGGUUCGAGGUGGAAGCAUGGUGACAUGUGGAGCUGACGAAUACUAAUCGAUCGAAGACUUAAUCAA